GCACUCAAGGAAGAGUGGCAGGCGGAAGGGCUGCUGGAUCUUUUCUACUCAAUGGGGGAGGGACCCCAGGAGGUCUGGAAUCUUGAGAAGCAAGAAGAUUCUGACUGAGAUUUCAGUUAGGUCUCUCAAUCUUGAAAAGCCUGGGAGAGAGGGUUGGCCAAGACUUUCUCCUGAGGAGUUACUCAUCUUUUCCUCUCCUGUAAGAGUGUUGCAAUCAGCAAAUAUAUGAGAGGAUCCUAUCCUGAUGAAACCACAGGCACCAUGAGAGGAAAAGAAGAAUAAGAAGAGGGCCUAAAAGGGAAGUGACAUAAAAGGGGAUGGAAGAAAGUCACAACAGAAUGAAUAGGAAAUGACCAAAUGGAGUAAAGAAAAUGAGAGGGUCAGCGAAGAAAAUGAAGAUCAGUUGAGAUCAGCUGAGGGAGCCUGAAAGAAUAAAAGGUGUCCUGAUCCACGAUGGCUCAUAAGGAUUACAGCAGGACUUGAGUGAAAAUGAGGGCUGCUCAUCAGGAAACAGCUAUACUCAUGAACAUUAAUAGCAACAACAGAGAAAGAGUUGUUUGGGGGUAAGGGAGAAAUUCUGGCAUUUUCCAAAGCUUAUUUUGUCAAUGCUGUUUUAAACAAUUUUAAA
Long non-coding RNA from Monodelphis domestica (gray short-tailed opossum), 628 nucleotides. RefSeq lists it as uncharacterized. Lineage: Eukaryota; Metazoa; Chordata; Mammalia; Didelphimorphia; Didelphidae. The record is from RefSeq and is a predicted model, not a curated record.